RNAcentral lists this ribosomal RNA (387 nucleotides) under uncultured bacterium. Its description in RNAcentral is "bacterial SSU rRNA". It matches the Rfam family "Bacterial small subunit ribosomal RNA", at positions 27 to 411 of the family's 1533-position model. The record is from RNAcentral.
GGACGAACGCUGGCGGCGUGCUUAACACAUGCAAGUCGAGCGGUAAGGCCCUUUCGGGGGUACACGAGCGGCGGAACAGGUGAGUAACACGUGGGUGACCUGCCCUUAGCUCUGGGAUAAGCCUGGGGAAACUGGGUCUAAUACCGGGAUAUGACUCCAUGACGCAUGUUGUGGGGUGGAAAGCCUUGUGCGGCUAGGGGAUGGGCCCGCGGCCUAUCAGCUUGUUGGUGGGGUGAUGGCCACCAAGGCGACGACGGGUAGCCGGCCUGAGAGGGCGACCGGCCACACUGGGGACUGAGACACGGCCCAGACUCCUACGGGAGGCAGCAGUGGGGAAUCUUGCGCAAUGGGCGAAAGCCUGACGCAGCGACGCCGCGUGAGGGAUGA